This 158-nucleotide ribosomal RNA is filed under the name uncultured bacterium. Its description in RNAcentral is "partial 16S ribosomal RNA". It matches the Rfam family "Bacterial small subunit ribosomal RNA", at positions 1344 to 1500 of the family's 1533-position model. The record is from RNAcentral.
GCAGGUCAGCAUACUGCCGUGAAUACGUUCCCGGGCCCUUGUACACACCGCCCGUCACACCAUGAGAGUUGGGGAUACCCGAAGCCUGUGAGCCAACUUUUAAGAGGCAGCAGUCGAAGGUAGAAUCAAUGAUUGGGGUGAAGUCGUAACAAGGUAGC